AGAUACCUCUCUAUCGCCUGACUUCUGCCUGUAUUUUUACUCUGAUUCAGCCUCAUGUUUUGGAUUCAUCUGCCUGUUUUAAUAUAAAAACUCUUAACCUGCAACUGUCACCAUCUCUGCUGCCUGACAUACAAAAUGCUUGUAGAGAUUCAAAGAAAACUCUUUGUCUGCAGUACGGACAAAAAGGAAAAGAAUCCUCUUUAUUAUCGUAACAAUAAAGAGGACCAUAACUACUUCAGGAGUACAGGAGAAAUUAUGGCAGCCACCCUGGCACAAGGUGAACCUCCACCAGCCUUUAUGCAUGAGCGUUGCUUCAGUUAUCUCUGCUCUGGUGAUUCUGACAAUAUACAAGUGACACUUAUAUACACUUGGAACUGUCACACCUUAUUGUGAAGGUA
Molecule: long non-coding RNA, 398 nt
Organism: Pangasianodon hypophthalmus (striped catfish)
Lineage: Eukaryota; Metazoa; Chordata; Actinopteri; Siluriformes; Pangasiidae
Exons: 3
Source: RefSeq, a predicted model, not a curated record